Molecule: long non-coding RNA, 3968 nt
Filed under: Homo sapiens (human)
Lineage: Eukaryota; Metazoa; Chordata; Mammalia; Primates; Hominidae
Description: HSALNT0264765
Source: RNAcentral
GGCCGCGGGGCCUGGAAGCAGCCUCCGGGAUCUGCAAGUCUGGAAAGGCCACGUUGUGGACCUUGGCGCAGAGGUUAUGGGGGCGACCCGGAGCGGAUGGUUUCAGGAAAACUAGAACCCACCCUCAUGGCCUGAACAACUGGAGAGAAGAGGAUCGCAGCAAUUUAAAGCCAGCGGCAAGGAUCACAGUCCUGGGGGUCUCGCUCGGUCACCCAGGCUGGAGUGUAAUGCUGCGAUCUCGGCUCACUGCAACGUCCGCCUCCCGGGUUCAAGAGAUUCUCCUGCCUCAGCCUCCCGAAUAGCUGGGCGUGCCACCACGCCCGGCUGAUUUUUGUAUUUUUAGUAGAGACGGGGUUUCACCAUGUUGGCCAGGUUGGUCUCGAACUCCUGACCUCAAAUGAUCCGCCCGCCUUGGCCUCCCAGAAUGCUGGGAUUACAGGCGUGAGCCACCGCGCCAGGCCGACAACUGGUAUCUUAAGGCUUAGGGCCUCUGGUAGAAGUGAGCUCCACCUCCCUUCCUGUGUAGAAGGUAAAUGCAUUCAUUCAUUCAGUGAAUCGAGCAUGCAUGAAAUCGUUUGCGCACACCCAGAAGCCCACCUGCGAGCCACAGGAGCAGCCAUUCCAGGAAGCCAAGCUAUAAUGGGAGACGCAAGGAAUGGAGGCGGAACUCCUGUUUUUAAGUCCUAGCUCCAACACUAGCCUUGUCAGCCUGUAAUUCUGAAUUACUGGGCGCCUCUGAGGCUUCUUGUCUCAUCUGCAAAUCAGGAACAACGGCAUAGAGUGGUGAAUGCAUCAAGUGGGAUGAUGUCUGCAAGUACGCAACCCGCUUACACAAAGAAUUAUCUUUCCAUAACCUUCCCUGGACCCCUAGGGCCAGCAGGGAAUCAUAGCCUCCCUUUGUUUCUAGAGCCCGGAAAUCACUGGGUUUUCCCUCUGUCUGGAGCAGAGCUGGGUGCGAAUUUGACCAACGGGUGGCAGGAACAGCCGGAGCAGGAUAUUAAGGAGCGGGCGAGCUUGCCAAGCAUGCGCAGUAGCGGCGGGUUGGUUUGAGAAGCCGCCAGGGAGCCAGCGCGGCGACCUAGCUGGCUGGGGCAGGGGAGGGGCCCGCCUUAUAUGGGAGCUGCGUGGGGACAAACUGUUCGGGCCCAACGCGCGGGUCUGAGAGACAGCCACGCCUGCUCCGGGUCACUCCGGCCACCUGGGGGGCGUCGGCGCGCAGACUCUGGCCAGUUCAGUAUUCAAACUCUUCAGGAGUGCUAACUUACUCAUGACAGCGAUUUUCUGUAUCGGGGUUUCAUUGGUCGGUGGUUUAGAAGGUUUUGCUCAUUCAUUCGUUAAUGUAAUUCCAACAACCUACACGUGUUUAUAAGCCCCCUUUCCAUCCACGACUUUGCUGUCUGACACAAAACGGACCAUCGCAGCCCGGCAGACGCUUUAGACAACAAACAGCAUGCCUGGAGCUUUUCAAUAGGAAGCAGUAGAAUCACCUGGCGGUCUUGUGAAACUGCAGCUUCUAAUGGGCAAGUCAGAGGGGAAGCCUGAGACAUGGCAUUUCCAGCACGUUCGGGGAGUGAAGAUGCUGUCGGCUGCCACCCUCCCUGCAAGGAGCCAGGGGAUAGAUGACCUCUACGCAAACUCUCCCCUCAAUGGGAAGUAGAAUCUCUUUCUCCACCUCUUCAAUAUGGCUGGCCCUGGAACUUCCCUUGGCACACAGAAUGCAGCAGAAUUGGCUUCAUGUUGUUUCUAAGCCUUGGCCUCAGAGGCCUUGCAUGCUUCCUAACCCUGGCUCUAGGAAACUUGCUGCUGUCAUGUAAGCAAGCCCAGGCUAACCUACUGAAUGUUGGUGUGUCCCAGUCAAAUCCAGCACUGCAACCAAUAGCCAGGCAGCCACCAGACAUGUGAGUGGGGCCACCUCACACCAGCCAACCUCCACCAAGUCAUCAGAUGUAUGAGUGAGAACAGCCCAGAACAACUGAGCCCGUCCAGACCAGCGGAACAACCAAGCUGACCAGUAGACUUAGGAGCAGUAAACAGAUGAUUGUUAUGGAAGCCAUUCUGUUUAGGGUGUGUGUGUUAUUGCUUGCAUCCAAAUACAUCCUAUCUCAUCUAAUGAGAAAAGGCCCUGCUCAAGGGCUUUUGCAGCUGUAGUUGGGCGCCGGAAGUGUCUUUGUGGUCAUUUCUUACUCCAUACACGGGGAGAUCAAGGCUCAGACCAGGUAGUGUGACUGUGGACAACACUUUCCUUACCCCUCUGUGACACUUAAAUCAAUGAAGCAGAUUCACAGAAGCAUGCAUGCUCACUGAACACAGUAUUUGCAUUCCUACCUCCAAACCUUUGCUCCACCCAUGCAUCCAGUAAGAAUGCCUACUUCCCUCCUCUCCUCCAUCGAGUUCUUUCUUUGAGUUCUACCUUCCCUAGUCUUCCUCCACUGCACCAACCCACGGUGAUCCCUGUCUCUUCCAAAUGCUUUGUAACAUGGUAGGCAUCACUCACUUGUGACUCAUUGGACCAUUUUAAAACUUGGUUUUCUGUGUCUCUUUUCCAACAAAAUUACAAAUUCUUUGAGGGUAAAAGUCAGGCCUAAUAGUUCUCUGUACUCCUAGUAGUGCCAGUGUGGUAAAAAUUUAACUUGACAAUUAGCAAAACCAAUAAAUUCCUUACACUAUUCUGUUCCUGUAGGUAAUCAGUAUAUGAAUAUGGAUUCCUAUGUGAUGAUUUUCUGGUCUAUUUUGUCCCUUUUUUUUUUUUGUUACUUUAACCAGGCCAUAACAUAAAGGUUAUGCCAUUUGUUACUGUCAAGCUUAAUUAAGCCCAUUAUAAUUCGUUAACCCCUGUGCUUGCUUUGUAAUUAACAUUGAUUAACACAAACAAGUACAAAAUAGGCCAUCAGCACUUUCCAGAAGUGCUGAUUACAAUUACAUUGGUAAUUCAAUACGGUAUAGAAGAUGGCAGGAUAGUAACUUGCACUCUGUUUACAUAAGGAGACAAAUGCUACCAUGCAAAACUAAGCCAAGAAACAAAAUACUUUCCUCAUCCAACUCACUGAUUAAACCCUUACCCUGUUAACUCACCCUAUGACUGUGUAAACCUCCAGUAAGAUUAUUGAAGGCACAGCUCCAAGUAACUUGCUUAAUUGCAUUCCUGGGACAAAAGAGGGAAGCGCUUCAAAGCUGACAGACAGAUGGUAGAGUGUCCAGUCACAGCAAAGCAGGCCCCGAGGCUCAUGACAGACAACUCCAGGGCUGAGAUCUCAUUUGUAGCUCUGGGAUAAAGUCCAGGGUUUGAUGGCAGCAGGCUGAAGUGUAAAGAUGCUCAACAAUGCGCACCCCAGAGACACUGAAUCUGAAAAAGCUUAGAGUGAAUAAAAAUCUGGAAAUGAACUCUGUCUGUCUAUUCACCAUUCCCCCCAUAAAAAAAUUCCUAUAUUCCGGAUGGUGUUCAAGUUCCCUUUCCACAGGACCUCAGCAGUCAGGGAGGUGCUCCUGCAAUCUAUGUGAAGGAGAUUUCACCAUGCCCACAUGGGAAUACAGUAGAUUGCCAGUAGGGAUGCCACACCUUUGCAUUUCCUCGUAUUUCCAGGAACAAAGCUGGGGUGCCUAGGAGCUGCAGCAGUUUUUCUUCUGUGUAAAAUAAGCAAGCAGGACUCUGCCCCACUGCACUCCAGGGAAGGAUUAAGAGAAUUGAUAUCAUCCAAAUCAAUUGGCCCUGUGCAGAUGACUUGAUAAUGAGGCCAUUGAGUUUUUAUGGUUCACUAUUAUUGCUACAAAAAUUAUGCUGCAGAAAUCAUUCAAAUGCUCAAAAAGGAGCAUUAGUACGAAACUGGGUGUUCCAAAGUUGUUGCUGAGAGGUGUGUAAUGUUCCUGAAGAUCCCCAAGGCACUAAGACUUCUCUGUACAUGAAUGACUCAUAGAGAAGAAAUACACCAGAUGAAAAUAUAUGGAGAAGUUUGCCGAAUGUCAUAUAACUU